Small nucleolar RNA from Gossypium raimondii (Peruvian cotton), 107 nucleotides. It matches the Rfam family "Plant small nucleolar RNA R71". Rfam says of the family: R71 is a member of the C/D box family of snoRNAs containing the C (UGAUGA) and D (CUGA) box motifs. Multiple nearly identical copies of this snoRNA have been identified in Arabidopsis, and it is thought to function as a 2'-O-ribose methylation guide for 18S ribosomal RNA. The record is from Rfam. NCBI's taxonomy places the organism in Eukaryota, Viridiplantae, Streptophyta, Magnoliopsida, Malvales, Malvaceae.
AUACCAUGAUGAGGGUGCUUUCGUAAUAACUCCUUGAACUGCUCUCAUGCCUCAUAUAAAGAUUCUUCGUCAAGUUGCUGAAAUAAAGUGAUUUCAUUUCGGAUCUU